GCGGCCUCAAUUGGGGCUUGAUUAGUUGAUUCAGUGCUGUUUGCUUCCUGUUCAGCUGGUGGAGUCUCUGAGCUGCUCGGCUCGGUGGUAGCCUCUGCGGGCGUGCAAAUAGUGGCAAUCUUUCUUGUCUUCUUAAUGGCCUUCACAAUCUUUUCAGGAGUUGAUUCAAAUUCAGAACUUGAAAGAGAGAGAGUGAGAGAAAGAAAGAGAAAACAAAACUGUUUUAGGUGGAGAAGAAUGAUUGAUCACCAUCAAGGUUAUGCAAAGCUCUUUUAAUCUUCUGCACGCAGCCAUUGCAGUCCAUUCGGACGAAGAACUCAGUCACUUGAGCUUUCUGCAAAUUCAUAGCAAAGCUUAGAAUCCAAACCUUCAAGUUUUCAGCCAGAUCGUUUGAUUGAAUGGAGUAGAAUUGAGAAUGAGCGACUUACUCUCUGUUCUGUAUCCAUGGAUGCAUCAGGAAGUAGAGGAAAGAUGGCUCUUUAUAGAUUGUAAAAUAAUCGAAGGUUGGAUGCUACUUUAUAUAUGAUGGAUGGAAUAUUUGAAAGGUAAAAGACGUUGGCCACACCAUGGAAUCAAUAGGAGAGUAAUUGGGGAAGAAAGUGAUAAGAGGGACCCCUUUGGGCCACUUUCAUUGCUUUUAUUUGAGUUGCUAUUGUGGUUGCUUUUGGGGAAAAUUAUUGCGUGUGGAGUUCGGAUUCGUCCAGAGACAAAUCCGGACGUGCCACGACACCCGGGGCCCGGUGCAUCCGGGUGACGUGAAGAAUCUGGAUUCGCCUCAGAACGAUUCAGACGCCGUACGCAAUAAUCUCUGGCAAGAGAUGAAGGGGGGAGGUGCUUGUUUGUAUUAUACAAACCAAAAAAGAUUUGCUUUAUUGUGGCUAAUGUUUGAUUGAUUUAUAAUUGGAAUAUCCUGGCUGGCCAUAGAGAUUAAAAGGGGCACGAUCAUGGCUCUGGGUCAAAAAGAAAGUGUCACUUUUGAUGAAGGAUAUCUACUUUUCAAGCAUCUCCCAUGGGAAAGAAAAGCAUUUUUCCUUGUUGUUGGUGAUCUAGAUAUGCAAGAUUAGCAAAAAAAAGUGCUGGAUUCCAUUUUUUUUCUUCUUGUCAGAAGGGCAAUAAGCUGCAAUUUAAAGUCCUUAAUUGUGAAAUUCUGUAAUGUGUGUGGGCAGAUUAGUCUCUUAUUAGACAAUUCAUUUACUCUAAUUAUAUCAACCAUAGGGUGCUUGUUCAUCCCAGUAAUUCAUGUGCUAUGAUUAUUUGUAUUUUGAUUUUGUUUUAAUUAUUUUCUUAAUUUUAUGACUAAUAAUUGAUA
This is a long non-coding RNA of Dendrobium catenatum, 1309 nucleotides long. RefSeq lists it as uncharacterized. The record is from RefSeq and is a predicted model, not a curated record. NCBI's taxonomy places the organism in Eukaryota, Viridiplantae, Streptophyta, Magnoliopsida, Asparagales, Orchidaceae. The transcript has 2 exons.